CACGUCCCAGGAAGACCGCUUUCUAUGGGGGCCCAGCUCCUGGCUGCAGUGCUCCGCUCUGCCCCCGUGCUGAAAACUCCUUCACGGAGACCCUGCACUUCCCGUGGGCUGCCUGCCCGCUUUCUCUGGGCAAAGACCAGCCUUGGGUGCUGGAGAGCGAGAGGAUUUUCUCGGCAUGCAGUCCCUUUAGAUUUGGGUGUGAUAACCAACCACAUCUGGCACAUUGGAUUUCUGGCUUGCAUUCCUCUGUCAUCCUGCUUUUCUGAAGAUUACACUAUUCCUUUGCCCUGGGCUUGAGCAGUAAAGGGUAGAUCUGAUUGCUGGUUGAACUGUUACCUCUUCACUGUGAUGGAAAAGUGCUCAUCUAAAACAAGCCCUCUGUUAUGCUGCUAAAACUGUCUCUGAAUACAAGAUCUGUGGUGAUU
This 425-nucleotide long non-coding RNA is filed under the name Chrysolophus pictus (golden pheasant). RNAcentral describes it as "lncRNA (ENSCPIG00010003723.1)". Lineage: Eukaryota; Metazoa; Chordata; Aves; Galliformes; Phasianidae. The record is from RNAcentral.